RNAcentral lists this non-coding RNA (30 nucleotides) under Homo sapiens (human). Lineage: Eukaryota; Metazoa; Chordata; Mammalia; Primates; Hominidae. The record is from RNAcentral.
UUCUACUGCAUGCUUUGGCUGGGCCUUGUU